RNAcentral lists this ribosomal RNA (775 nucleotides) under uncultured Neocallimastigales. RNAcentral describes it as "partial large subunit ribosomal RNA". It matches the Rfam family "Eukaryotic large subunit ribosomal RNA", at positions 20 to 616 of the family's 3401-position model. Lineage: Eukaryota; Fungi; Neocallimastigomycota; Neocallimastigomycetes; Neocallimastigales. The record is from RNAcentral.
UACUAGAGUAGCACUCGCAUAUCAAUAAGCGGAGGAAAAGAAACUAACAAGGAUUCCCCUAGUAACGGCGAGUGAAGCGGGAAGAGCUCAAAUUUGAAAUCUUAAAGGGUUUCCCUUUACGAAUUGUAGUUUAAAGAAGUGUUUUCUGUUGAGGUUUUGGUAAAAGUUCUUUGGAAUAGGACAUCAUAGAGGGUGAGAAUCCCGUAUUUGACCUUUACUUUCAACUUUGUGAUACACUUUCAAAGAGUCGGAUUGUUUGGGAAUGCAGUCCAAAAUGGGUGGUAAAUUUCAUCUAAAGCUAAAUAUUGGCGAGAGACCGAUAGCGAACAAGUACCGUGAGGGAAAGAUGAAAAGAACUUUGAAAAGAGAGUUAAACAGUACGUGAAAUCGUCAAAAGGGAAGCGUUUGACACCAGUGUUGUUUUCCUGAAAAUCAAUUAAAGAACUGUUUAUGCUAAGCUGUUUAGACUUUAUCAGCUAAUCUGUUUAGUUUUGAGCUUUUCUUUAAUGCACUUUUCAGUUAACAAGUCAACAUCAAUUUCUUUUGCUGUAAAAAAGCUUGAGGAAGGUGGCUUGAGAUUCGUCUUAAGUGUUUAUAGCCUCUUGCCUAUGCAGUCGGAGAGAUUGAGGUCUGCAGCGUAGAUCCUUCGGGGCUAAAUGCAUUUGUGCUAAGUUAUAGCAUUUUAUAGACAACUUGUUGACUAUGAUUUGUCUUGUAGCUUACUCGCUUAUGUUAUUUUACCUACGCUUAGGAUGUUGAGCGCAUGUCUCUCUCU